RNAcentral lists this ribosomal RNA (483 nucleotides) under uncultured bacterium. RNAcentral describes it as "partial 16S ribosomal RNA". It matches the Rfam family "Bacterial small subunit ribosomal RNA", at positions 30 to 507 of the family's 1533-position model. The record is from RNAcentral.
AUUGAACGCUGGCGGCAGGCCUAACACAUGCAAGUCGAGCGGAUGAAGGGAGCUUGCUCCUGGAUUCAGCGGCGGACGGGUGAGUAAUGCCUAGGAAUCUGCCUGGUAGUGGGGGAUAACGUCCGGAAACGGGCGCUAAUACCGCAUACGUCCUGAGGGAGAAAGUGGGGGAUCUUCGGACCUCACGCUAUCAGAUGAGCCAGGUCGGAUUAGCUAGUUGGUGGGGUAAAGGCCUACCAAGGCGACGAUCCGUAACUGGUCUGAGAGGAUGAUCAGUCACACUGGAACUGAGACACGGUCCAGACUCCUACGGGAGGCAGCAGUGGGGAAUAUUGGACAAAGGGCGAAAGCCUGAUCCAGCCAUGCCGCGUGUGUGAAGAAGGUCUUCGGAUUGUAAAGCACUUUAAGUUGGGAGGAAGGGCAGUAAGUUAAUACCUUGCUGUUUUGACGUUACCAACAGAAUAAGCACCGGCUAACUUCGUG